RNAcentral lists this ribosomal RNA (449 nucleotides) under uncultured prokaryote. RNAcentral describes it as "bacterial SSU rRNA". It matches the Rfam family "Bacterial small subunit ribosomal RNA", at positions 355 to 796 of the family's 1533-position model. The record is from RNAcentral.
UGGGGAGUAUUGGACAAUGGUCGAAAGCCUGAUCCAGCAAUGCCGCGUGUGUGAAGAAGGCCUGCGGGUUGUAAAGCACUUUCAGUAGAGAAGAAAAGCUUAAGGCUAAUACCCUUGAGUCUUGACGUAACCUACAGAAGAAGCACCGGCUAACUCCGUGCCAGCAGCCGCGGUAAUACGGAGGGUGCGAGCGUUAAUCGGAAUUACUGGGCGUAAAGCGCGCGUAGGUGGUUGUGUAUGUCGGAUGUGAAAGCCCAGGGCUUAACCUUGGAAUUGCACCCGAUACUGCAUGACUAGAGUAUGGUAGAGGGAAGUGGAAUUUCCGGUGUAGCGGUGAAAUGCGUAGAUAUCGGAAGGAACACCAGUGGCGAAGGCGACUUCCUGGGCCAAUACUGACACUGAGGUGCGAAAGCGUGGGGAGCAAACAGGAUUAGAUACCCCCGUAGUCC